This 114-nucleotide ribosomal RNA is filed under the name Choloepus hoffmanni (Hoffmann's two-fingered sloth). The record is from RNAcentral. Lineage: Eukaryota; Metazoa; Chordata; Mammalia; Pilosa; Megalonychidae.
ACGCGGACACAACCGCGAGCACGUCCCUUCGCGUCUGAUUGCGGAAGCGACGCAGGGUCUGGGCUGGUUCGAGCUUCCGUGGGAGACCAGCUUGGAAGACUGCUUUUGCUCGUU